Molecule: ribosomal RNA, 253 nt
Filed under: uncultured bacterium
Lineage: Bacteria
Description: partial 16S ribosomal RNA
Rfam family: Bacterial small subunit ribosomal RNA
Source: RNAcentral
UACGUAGGUGGCAAGCGUUGUCCGGAAUUAUUGGGCGUAAAGCGCGCGCAGGCGGCUUCUUAAGUCUGAUGUGAAAUCUCGGGGCUCAACCCCGAGCGGCCAUUGGAAACUGGGAAGCUUGAGUACAGAAGAGGAGAGUGGAAUUCCACGUGUAGCGGUGAAAUGCGUAGAUAUGUGGAGGAACACCAGUGGCGAAGGCGACUCUCUGGUCUGUAACUGACGCUGAGGCGCGAAAGCGUUGGGAGCAAACAGG